Molecule: long non-coding RNA, 1094 nt
Organism: Nerophis ophidion (straightnose pipefish)
Lineage: Eukaryota; Metazoa; Chordata; Actinopteri; Syngnathiformes; Syngnathidae
Exons: 3
Source: RefSeq, a predicted model, not a curated record
UUUUUUUGUGAUAAUACGUUUUUGUUAAUGUAAUUUAAAUUAUUAUUUUUUUUGUAUGAAUGAAUGUUGUUUAUUCUCUCUUCUAUCGGACUUUUGAUGAUGAGGUAUCACUCCGCCAGAAAAGUAGAGACCUGUGUAUGUGUUUCAUGUUUCCAACAAAGGGCUUCAUCUUCCUGAAUCAUUUAUCCUCCGUGAGGCCGGCGAGGGGAGAACAGAUGUUUCCACGGCGACAGAAGCAGCCAGAUGUUGAUUCAACCGCAGAAGAGGAGAUCAUGGAUGAAGGCAACAAAGGCGGAAGAGCAGAAUGUGGUCGGCCUUACAAGGCCUGACGUUGACAUCGCCAUGGAGACCAGCAGGAAAGAGGCCCGGUCGGCGUGUGUUUGUUGGAAAAGAAGAGAAGCUGCGUUGUCGUCAUGUUUUUGACGACAACGCACAAAAGAUAUAAAAGCUUCACAUGGAAAACAACUAUUUUUUUUUUUUUUAAAGUCUACUCUCUCCCACACACAAAUUCUUGUAUUUCUGACCUACUUCAUGGUGGCAGCGGUGGGAUAAAGAGAUCACCCACGGAGCAGAACGGGAGGGGGAGUUGUCCGAGUAUAAUUCUGUCGUCGCCCGCACUUGAGAAGGCGAGCUAACUGAUAGCAGCAGUCUGAUAGCAGUUUUCUAAACCGGACUUUCAAUCGAAGCAGGAUGUAAUAAAGGACGAUCUCCAUCGAGACAGAGAGACUUUUAAAACUGAAGAAAGAUAAGGAAGACUUCUAUAAACAAGUUAUCGAUGCUUUUGAUCAGAAGGAUCUGUGCAUGGACUUCAUUUAUAAGUAAAGGAACCGAAGACGAGAGAGGGGGGAGAACCCUGAAAUUUCCAAUCAGCUACGGCACGUUCAACUGUUGCGUAGCCGCAUGUGUCUCUGGUGAACGGCUGCGGCUGUAGGCAACCCCCUGGCGUUACCGACUAUCCAGGCUGCGUUUGAAGUGCGAGGAGCUCUGCAUGCGCUUUAAAACGCUGCCGCAAUAACGCUGAGUCGGCAUCUGGGCUGCUCUCCCAACACCGUGCUAAACAGCGGCAAUAAUCAGGGAGCGUUCUGGGAAACGAU